Molecule: long non-coding RNA, 2041 nt
Organism: Mauremys reevesii (Reeves's turtle)
Lineage: Eukaryota; Metazoa; Chordata; Testudines; Geoemydidae
Exons: 7
Source: RefSeq, a predicted model, not a curated record
UAGGCAACAGCUUAGGCUCCUGUGGAAAAUCUUGAGAUAGGCCCUAUAAGAAACAGGGAGGACCUGGGAGAAACUGCCAGAGUCCCUGGGGAAGAGAGGUAGUGGGCCAAAAAGGGCAGAAGCACAGUUUUUCUUUUGUUUGGUUGUUUAAAAUGAACUUUUGUCAUCCUGGAAGGGGACUGAAUUUUAAAUGUGACCUAGCUACAGAGAAAAGUCUCCCAGAAAAGGACAAUAGCAGAACCAGAUCUGCCAACAAAAUGGGAUGCUAGAGCAGAAGAAUCCCUGCAAAGCCACUCUCUGAUGCCAGGGGGUGCUAUGGUGGCAAAAGCAAACAGAUACUUCCAGCUUGAAUUACUUUUAUUUUAGAUUAAGACAACAAAACGAGAACAAAAGUGAAGUCUGCAUCAGAGAGCACACUGUCUCUUUCAUCUGAAGUUCUGGGCAUGCUGUAUCCAAGAUUAAUUUAGCCUCAUUAUUCCUUUCUGAGGCUGGGAAGAAGCAGGGAUAGUGUGUGCCUGUGGGAAGGGGGCAUGAAGAGAUCUGGUGAUGACCACUUCAGUGUGACAUUGGCAAUACAAGCAGUUGCCUGCUGCCCUCGAUGUGUAUUGUGGCAGAAGAAUGAUACAAGAAAGACAAAAUAAAUUACAGAAACAGAAAAUAAGGUUAGCAAGUGAUGCAAGCCUGUAAGAUGGAGGAGAAGACCUGAGUCAGAAACACAAGUUGAGGGCAAACAUUUGCCAAGGUUUUCUGCAGGGCAACUGAACAUACAAGUGCGGAGAGGUGGAGGUAGGAAAGAGACAGAAACCAGACCCUCUGGAUCUUCGUCUUCUCAGUGCUGCUACUGCUGACGCUGUGGUGAAGUCCUUCUGACACCACAUAUCUGGGAAUGAAGAGCUUCUCAGAGCUGAUUGGAAAUGGCAUUGCUGCACUGAAACUUAACUGGAGGAAAUACAUCUCCCGAAGAAGAAAAUAUAAUGCACUUUAAGGAUCUGACUUCUGGUGAAAAAUUCAAGCCUAGAGAAAACUUGUCCGCUUUAUUAAGAAGAAUGGGUUGGACAAUCUUCUUCAGUUCCAAAGGAUAUCUGAACGCCAUGCUGAGCUUAAUCUCUGCAGCAUGCUCUGUGCUUCUCUUCUCCUCCUGAUGCACUGCAUGGUUAGCCUGAGGAGAAGGAUAAAGAAACUGGCCUCCAAGAUGGUAAUCACUAGUGGAAAUGAAGAAGAUAAAGGCAAUCAAGAAAAGGAGAGCAAAGAAGAAACCAUCCUGGCAAUGCUUGGGAUUAUUGGAACAAUUUUGAACCUCAUUGUGAUCAUUUUUGUGUACAUUUACACAACAUUGUGAGCCAGAAGGCACACGAUGAGAACCAAUGAAACGGCUGCUAAAGGUGACAACAAACAUUGUAGGGUAUUGACAUGUUGCUUAAUCAGAAUUUAUUCUGUACUAUAUUACCACAUCAUAAAAGCACUGCCUCCAGGCAGUGAAAGCUGAAGCACAAUUAAUUUAACCAGACUUUUUCACGCAGUAACAAGCUAAACUCUUCUGUCUUGCUCCUUUCCCUUUUUGUGGGGGUUUGGUUUUGGGGGAAAUGACUGCAAUGAUGUAAGUGGCAGCUUUGAAGAACUCAAUCUGGGAUACAAACACAAUAGAAAGAGACUGUACACUAUUUAGAAUUACUAAUGUAUACCAUAUACUCUGAAAGAUAGCUAGAUAACACAGAUUUUGUGUCCAUUAGGUCAAAUAAUUUUUUUUUCUCCUUGACUUUUCAGUUUUAUUUACAUUGAAACUGACAGGCUUUUUAUUUAGAAUGAACAUAUGGUGCAAUCAUGGAAAAACAAUUCCAUCGAGCAAGAUCUGCCUAAAAACAAUAAAAUGUUGGGGGAAAUAAGUGACAUGAUUAUUUUUUCUUUUUCAUUUGCUUGACAUUUGUGUCUGUUCAUACCAAUGUUUAUAAAUAUAUAUUUUUAAUAAAUGUGCUAUAUUUUUAGCAUGAACCAAAUAUUUGGAGACAAUCUGGUAUUCAUGCAGCCUGUUUUGUUUGAUGAA